Molecule: long non-coding RNA, 280 nt
Organism: Papaver somniferum (opium poppy)
Lineage: Eukaryota; Viridiplantae; Streptophyta; Magnoliopsida; Ranunculales; Papaveraceae
Exons: 2
Source: RefSeq, a predicted model, not a curated record
GAAAAAGAGAUGGAGAUAUAGGUUUUGUUAGGGAGGAAAGCUAUGGAGAGGAAGAAGAUGAAUUGGAGUUAGGGUUAUUGAGGAGAAAUUUAAAUUAGGAAAACCACUGGAGAAUCAAUGGAAUUGAGAUUUAUCAGAGUAGCGCAGCGAAAUCUAGGAAUGAAUAGCUUAGUGAUUGAAUUAUUUUAUUGUAUUGCUUGAAAUGUAGUUUGAAAUAAUAUGUUUGGUUGAAAAUGUUGUUAAAGAUAAUUAGUGGAUUUAUAUGCUUAAAUUUAUUUUA